CAAGAAUACACUGAAGUUGUGGUAUCUUCCCAUCCAAGAGUGAGCAGGACCCCAUGUGGUGCUGGAGACAGAUGAGAGGAGCUUGAAAGAAGGAAGCCGUGGGAAUGCCUGGCCAAGGCAUUUGACCAACAGUGACUUGAGAGCUGUGGGACCCUCACGAGAUGCCGCAGAUAGAAUACCUGACCAAAACCACUUACAGAUGGUAGAGUUUAUUUUACUUUGGCUCAUAUAUCAUUGGCAUGAAGUCAUGGCAUCAGGAAUGUGCGACAACUGGUUCCACUUCACCUACCAGCAAGAAGCAUAGAGAGGAGAUUACAGUUAAUAGAGUACAUGAAUCUCAGAAGAGACUUUGAACUUUAGACCUUUAAAUCACCCUCAAUUCCUAAGAAUCCAGCUGGACCUUUGCUUGAAGUGUAUGAGAAAGAUUGUGGUUCCUUGGAAGAGCAGGACAUCCUGGCAUCACAGUGCUGUCUAUGAUGGAGACUUCUCAAUGUAAUGGUUAUGACAUUUUAUGCACAACAGACCUUUAUCUUUCCUGUUGCAGUUAUCUAUAGGGGGGUUGGAGUACGAUCGUUGACUGUAGGAGUAUCUGCUGUGUGGUGGGCUGUCACAAGUAUGUGAAAGACUUACUGGCACCAUGCAGAGGUUCCUGUAGAUGGAGGUUUCUGUCCCACCUGGUCUGUACAGACCUCCAGCCCUCUAUGGUUUGCUAGUUGUGAGCUCCAUUCUCUGACCGACCCCAAGACAGGCUUUGUUUAAGAAAGGUAUCACCACAGGUUCCAAUAGUAUCUGAGUAAGCAGUCAUUAUCCAAGAUGUGUCUUUUUAAAAUGCUGACUACCUCAGUCAUGGACUUGAGUGGCCUUGCUCUAUCUCAGUGUCAGUGUCUCCAGCGUCUCAGGAGUGAGCCUUAACU
This 914-nucleotide long non-coding RNA is filed under the name Cricetulus griseus (Chinese hamster). RNAcentral's name for it is "lncRNA (ENSCGRG00015043046.1)". The record is from RNAcentral. Lineage: Eukaryota; Metazoa; Chordata; Mammalia; Rodentia; Cricetidae.